UCUCUAUAGUAUAGAGGUCAAUUAGAACAAGUUAAGCUAAUUUAAAUUUAUAUUUUUUAAAACAUAAAUGAUAUAAGAUUGGAUUUAUCUCAAUUAGAACAAUCCCAACUAAUUGGCAUUACUCUCCUUAGCAUAGAGGUUCCUCUCAAGAUAGUAGCACUCAUAUUGGACCACUACACCACCCUCCUCUCUCUCUCUCCCGCUCGCUCUCUCUAUGUGUAUGUGUG
This 227-nucleotide long non-coding RNA is filed under the name Elaeis guineensis (African oil palm). Its description in RNAcentral is "long non-coding RNA (EGUI_LNC033746)". Lineage: Eukaryota; Viridiplantae; Streptophyta; Magnoliopsida; Arecales; Arecaceae. The record is from RNAcentral.